This 301-nucleotide ribosomal RNA is filed under the name uncultured bacterium. RNAcentral describes it as "partial 16S ribosomal RNA". It matches the Rfam family "Bacterial small subunit ribosomal RNA", at positions 509 to 807 of the family's 1533-position model. The record is from RNAcentral.
CAGUCGCCGCGGUAAUACGUAGGGUGCAAGCGUUAAUCGGAAUUACUGGGCGUAAAGCGCGCGUAGGUGGUUUGUUAAGUUGGAUGUGAAAUCCCCGGGCUCAACCUGGGAACUGCAUCCAAAACUGGCAAGCUAGAGUAUGGUAGAGGGUGGUGGAAUUUCCUGUGUAGCGGUGAAAUGCGUAGAUAUAGGAAGGAACACCAGUGGCGAAGGCGACCACCUGGACUGAUACUGACACUGAGGUGCGAAAGCGUGGGGAGCAAACAGGAUUAGAUACCCCCGUAGUCCCUGUCUCUUAUAC